CUCACAGCAAGCCCAAAAGCGCGGCGAUUUUUUGGAGAGACUUCACGAUGGUUGACUGUAUGAUUGAGAUGGAGAACGGCAGUUACCUGGUGGACGGUCUCUGCGCAAACGAGAGUGAGGUGUGCAAUUACACCGACUGGGAGCACUCUACCUCGGUGGUUCCGGUGCUCUACAUGCUGGUUUUUGUCUUCGGACUGUCGGGAAAUGGAGUGGUCAUCUGCACGGUGUGGAGAUCUCGCACCAAGAGGAGAUCGGCUGACACCUACAUCGGGAACCUGGCGCUGGCGGACUUGGCCUUUGUGGUGACCCUACCUCUGUGGGCUGUGUACGCCGCUCUAGACUAUCACUGGCCCUUCGGCUGGUUGCUCUGUAAAGUCAGCAGCUACGUUGUGAUGAUCAACAUGUACGCCAGCGUCUUCUGCCUGACCUGCCUCAGCUUUGACCGGUACCUGGCCAUCGUGCACUCCCUGUCCAGCAACAAGCUGCGUUCCAGCCGCACUACACUGCUCUGCUUGGCUGCCAUCUGGGUCCUGGCGGGGCUGCUGGCCCUCCCUGCCUUACUCCUGCGGAAAACAGAGGAAAAGGAGAACAUAACCGUGUGCGCCAUGGACUAUACCUGGGUGGCGAGUGAAGACACCGAGCAUCUUUGGAUCGGGGGGCUCAGCCUUUUCGCUAGCUUCUUGGGCUUCAUCCUACCCUUCCUACUGAUGUCCACCUUCUACUGCGCCAUCGCCAACACCGUCACCAGGCAUUUCCAGAACGUCAAGAAAGAAGAGCAGAAGAAGAAGCGUCUGCUGAAGAUCAUCAGCGCCCUGGUGUUGGUUUUUGCCAUCUGCUGGCUUCCCUUCCACGUUAUCAAGACCCUCGAUGCCCUGUUCUGGCUGGAUGUCAUCUCCAACCACUGCUCGUUAGAUGUCUUCCUCCAGGUGGCCCACCCUUACGCCACUUGCCUUGCCUACAUCAACAGCUGUCUCAACCCGUUUCUCUACGCCUUCUUCGACCAGCGUUUCCGAUCCCAGUGUCUGUCCGUGCUGCGCUGCUCCAGGUUAAAGAAAGCUCUGCACGUCUCCAUCACCUCCAUCUCCACCAGCAUGAGCAACCCGACCAAAAGCGAGGCUCCCUCCUCCGCCACUAAGGUGUAGCGCCCUGCGGCAUCAGGGAGUCCAGACUACUCCCAAGUACUCUGCCCAUUCACUGCUUCCACUCGGUGACUCCGAUCUCCCCACCCAAACCGGGACAACUUCUUGGCCUGGAACCUGCAGCAGCUCCCCCACCCCUACCCGCCUCCCGGCUCUGUCCACUACACCGAGUGAAGUGAGGCAGUUCGGGGCGUGGGGGCCGUCGUUUUAGCGCUCCCAAGUGGAUCCCACCCGGCUGGUAGCCCCGAGCGGCGGUAUCUGAGGGUGGGGAGUGAAUGCAGAACUGUGCCCUUGCCUGAAGAAGCGACUGUUUGGGUAAACAUGUAUAUUUAUUUUGCUUUUGGCUACAGCUUGUGCUGAAAACCCGGAUGGAAAGCUGAGAUAUAUUUUAUAAAUAUAACCUGCUUUUGCUGGUUUACAAUUUAAUAAUGGCUGACAGAAACACAUGAAACCUUCACUGUGUAUUUUUCACUCAUGAUAAAUCAGGGAUCUAAGCGUUAAAGCGACCAGUGACUUUUAAAAAAAUAUAUCGUUCCUGCUUAUUAAUAUUUUGUGACACAAAUUCCUCGCCGUGGCUCUGUUCAUGUAACCUCGAGUCCUUGUACUUACACUGUUCGUCAUCUUUGCCUGUCGACACAACUAACCAAUGAUACCCGAGAUAGAUUAUCAGGGACAUACAAGUGACUUAAAAUUAAUCUGGGUUCUCAGUUUUCUGGAGGCUGGCUUCAGACAGUGUGCCGUCUAUUUGACUGGACGCGUGGAAACAGUACGCACAAAGCGCUCUGUGUUCCUGACGGCAGAUGCCAGUCUGGGCUGGGUGACCACACAUGCUGCUCCUGUAAAGCAAAUUAUGCAGUCAAACCUAACAAAGGAGAGAGCUACAGCUUUAAUGUUAGCAUCUGUAUAACCAGCUGUCAUCCCAAGCGUCCUGAAUAGCUCUAUUUUAUUUUGCUCUGCCGGGAACGCGACGGGCCGAACAGCCUCACCGAGCACACAAACUUGCGGCUCUCGCCUCGACAGAGUUUCACUGGUGCUCUGCAACCCGUUUAGUACCUCACCCUUGCUUCAAGUUGUAACCUGAAUUAAAAACAAAUGCUGGAAACGUGAGCCUAGUAAAAUAAGGGGGAAAAAACUAUUUUAAUAAUUUUGGUGCAGACUGAAAAGGAAACUCCUUUGUAGGAAUAGCUGAAAGAGUGAGGAAUCUCUGAUCACUCUUGUAUGCUCCUGUGUUACAAAGAGGCAGCUAAUUCCUUACAGCAGCAUAAUAUUUAAUCAGUGAGCCUUGAGCAUCUUUUAAAUUGAUUAAGUUCCACUCAAGUGGGGCGAAGUGGUUAGCACAACGCUUUACUAUACCAGUGACCCGGGUUCGAUUCCUGCCAUCGCCUGUAAGGAGUUUGGAGCUUCCCUCCACGACCCACGUGGGUUUCCUCUGGGUGCUCUGAAUGUAAUGGUUAAUUGGUCAUUGUAAAUUGUCCCGUGAUCAGGCCAGGGUUAAAUCGGGGGUCACUGGGCAGUGUGGUUCCAAGAGCCGGAAGGGCCUGUUCCACACUAUAUCUCAAUAAAAUAAAAUAAUAAAUUUUAAAAAUGCAACAGAUUGUUAAUGGAUCUGUAUCUUGUAAAUGUUUUUUUUUCUCUUAAUCUGCCUCCCACUUAAAUUUUGAGAGUUAAAGACAACAGCAUAGUUCUCAGGUAAAAUAAAAGCAGCUUGUCUGUUGCCAGCUUUGCUGGACCAGGUAUAUAGGAGCAGACACGAUGGGCCGAAUAGCCCAAUUCCGCUCCUAUAUCUUGUGGUCUUGUGUACCUGGCCGGAGAGAAUGCACACCCAAAGGUAAACAUUUGUACUUUAACAAUUGCAAGUGCUUUCAUUGGAGACCCUACUAACCAGGACAAAGUACACAAUUAACUGCCUGCUUGUGAUACUCUAUUUGCAUAUUUUGGUCAGAGUUAUAAUGGGGUUCAUUAUUUUAAUGAGAAGAUGAACUAUUUUCAUUUUGUAGUGCCUUCUAGAGCUUUUGUUGUUGCCAAAAUGUUUUGUUACUGCUGAGUUCUGUGGAAAGAACCUUUCACGUUUGGCUUAAUUAUGAGCACAGAAGAAUUUUUGAAUUGUGUACCAACUGCAAGUGUUGUGAUUGUAUGAGUUGGUGUGAUCAUUUAUAAGAACCGGUAAGAAACUGGAGAUUUCAUUUGCCAUAAUAUUUGAUAUGGCUACAUAUUGCUUUAUAUUUGUUUAAUAUCAAUUAUUUCUGGACUUUUAUAUCACUGUCUGACUGUGGAUCAGUUUGACAUCUUGUUACAUUUACAACAGUGUGUCUUAUUAUUGUAUAAUGCAUAUCUGUGUCUUCCUACAAAAUAAAGCUCUCCAAUUGGAGAAUAAAGCUUCAA
This is an RNA transcript of Mobula hypostoma (lesser devil ray), 3521 nucleotides long. It is a transcript of the gene named apelin receptor a, with no coding region annotated. The record is from RefSeq and is a predicted model, not a curated record. The transcript is spliced from 2 exons. NCBI's taxonomy places the organism in Eukaryota, Metazoa, Chordata, Chondrichthyes, Myliobatiformes, Myliobatidae.